UUAAAAGCAGUGGAGUACUCAUCUGUCUCAGCUGGAAAUCACCUUAGAAGUCUGAGGAAAAAAAAAAAAUAAGGGUUACCUCUGCACACAUCAGUCUCUGCCAGCCAAGAGUGCCAUGCAUUAUUACUGAAAGAGGCUGUGUAUGAGGAUAUAUGGGACUAAAAGUUGUACAUAAGAUCUGGUUGCAGUGAAGACCUUGGCAAACGUCCUCUAAAGAACUUUGCUGAUGUGGCUGAAGACAUAGCCAUGGCUGUCCUUGUGCCUUGCCCUUCUUCUGUGACUUGCCUCAUCCCCACAAGCAGG
Molecule: long non-coding RNA, 303 nt
Filed under: Gallus gallus (chicken)
Lineage: Eukaryota; Metazoa; Chordata; Aves; Galliformes; Phasianidae
Description: lncRNA (ENSGALG00010006702.1)
Source: RNAcentral